Molecule: ribosomal RNA, 476 nt
Filed under: uncultured bacterium
Lineage: Bacteria
Description: bacterial SSU rRNA
Rfam family: Bacterial small subunit ribosomal RNA
Source: RNAcentral
GGACGAACGCUGGCGGCGUGCCUAACACAUGCAAGUCGAGCGAGGAGAUUCCUUCGGGAUGAUCCUAGCGGCGGACGGGUGAGUAACACGUGGGCAACCUGCCUCAUAGAGAGGAAUAGCCUUCCGAAAGGGAGAUUAAUACCUCAUAACAUUGCAGUUUCGCAUGGAACAGCAAUUAAAGGAGCAAUCCACUAUGAGAUGGGGCCCGCGGCGCAUUAGCUAGUUGGUGAGGUAACGGCUCACCAAGGCGACGAUGCGUAGCCGACCUGAGAGGGUGAUCGGCCACAUUGGGACUGAGACACGGCCCAGACUCCUACGGGAGGCAGCAGUGGGGAAUAUUGCACAAUGGGGGAAACCCUGAUGCAAGCAACGCCGCGUGAGUGAUGACGGCCUUCGGGUUGUAAAGCUCUGUCUUCAGGGACGAUAAUGACGGUACCUGAGGAGGAAGCCACGGCUAACUACGUGCCAGCCGCAGC